Molecule: small RNA, 239 nt
Filed under: Castor canadensis (American beaver)
Lineage: Eukaryota; Metazoa; Chordata; Mammalia; Rodentia; Castoridae
Description: 7SK RNA (ENSCCNG00000005688.1)
Rfam family: 7SK RNA
About the family: 7SK was discovered as an abundant small nuclear RNA in the mid-70s but a possible function has only recently been suggested. Two independent studies have found that 7SK RNA binds the CDK9/cyclin T complex (known as elongation factor P-TEFb).
Source: Rfam by way of RNAcentral
GGAUAUGAGAGUGAUCUGGCUGUGACAUCUGUCACCCCAUAGAUCACCAGGGUGAUCUAUGACUGGCUAGGUGGGUGUCCCCUUCCUCCCUCACUGCUCUAUGUGUGUCCCUAUGGAAGCAGCACACUGAUCAAAGAGGAGGACCUUGCGGGAUAGAGGAGGGUCAUUCAGAGGUAUGCAAGUGGCCGCACUUCCCUGCUACAGCUCCAAACACAUUCUCGUUGUCUGUGACACUCCUU